UCAAGUGGACCUUCAGUUCGUACGAACUGUCAAAUCCUGCAAAGCGUUGUCAAUCUGACGAAGUCUAACAAUCCAAACUUCACUAUCAAGAAAAUGCUAGAGGCAUCGCCUGCUUGUGAUUCGACUGUGUCUAGCAUGGACUCAGCAGAGCUCUCUUCGUAUGGUGAUGUUAAUAGAGAAGGACUAAGAUGUAGAGUCUGGUCGAAUCAAGAGGUCUACGGACUAGUCAAGAAAGAUAAGUUAUCCAGAUGUGACUUCUUACACAUUCUGAUGCAGGGCUGUAUGAAGGAUGACAGAAAAGUGGAAACGUAUUUGUUGUUCUUGGGUUAGUGGCGAAGAAGACAGUUCAUAGAUGCAGAACCAUGGGGACACUUGAUGACUUGGCAUCUUUCCAUGUGAUGGAUGCUGUUUUUGUUUUGUCAGUGAAUAGAUUUGUUCAUACUCGUUACUCCAUAGUAUAGUGUUACAAAAGACCCAGACCUCGCGAUUUGCCCCAUAGACAAUCAGGAUUUGGGCAUCCUUUUUUUUUGCUGUGCAUAUAUAGUACCAGAGCAUUACGGAAACAUUGGCGAUUUGCCAAUACAUGUUUUGUAGGUAAACAGCAAUACUUACGUGCGGCAUUGUACGGAGAUUCGUUUUUACAGAUGUA
This is a long non-coding RNA of Panicum virgatum (switchgrass), 649 nucleotides long. RefSeq lists it as uncharacterized. The record is from RefSeq and is a predicted model, not a curated record. The transcript has 3 exons. Lineage: Eukaryota; Viridiplantae; Streptophyta; Magnoliopsida; Poales; Poaceae.